CCCGUACACCAAAAUGCACAGGCUGUGAACUCGAAGAGUAGGGCGGGACACGUGGUAUCCUGUCUGAAUAUGGGGGGACCAUCCUCCAAGGCUAAAUACUCCUGACUGACCGAUAGUGAACCAGUACCGUGAGGGAAAGGCGAAAAGAACCCCGGCGAGGGGAGUGAAAAAGAACCUGAAACCGUGUACGUACAAGCAGUGGGAGCACCUUCGGGUGUGACUGCGUACCUUUUGUAUAAUGGGUCAGCGACUUAUAUUCUGUAGCAAGGUUAACCGUAUAGGGGAGCCGCAGGGAAACCGAGUCUUAACUGGGCGUUAAGUUGCAGGGUAUAGACCCGAAACCCGGUGAUCUAGCCAUGGGCAGGUUGAAGGUUGGGUAACACUAACUGGAGGACCGAACCGACUAAUGUUGAAAAAUUAGCGGAUGACUUGUGGCUGGGGGUGAAAGGCCAAUCAAACCGGGAGAUAGCUGGUUCUCCCCGAAAGCUAUUUAGGUAGCGCCUCGUGAACUCAUCUUCGGGGGUAAA
Molecule: ribosomal RNA, 527 nt
Filed under: Vibrio parahaemolyticus
Lineage: Bacteria; Pseudomonadati; Pseudomonadota; Gammaproteobacteria; Vibrionales; Vibrionaceae
Description: partial 23S ribosomal RNA
Rfam family: Bacterial large subunit ribosomal RNA
Source: RNAcentral